GGAACUCUUAGUGGACCGGUGGAAUGCGUAGAUAUUAAGAGGAACGCCAAUGGUGAAGACAGUGUACUGGGCUUGUACUGACGCUGAGGUGCGAAAGCGUGGGGAGCGAACGGGAUUAGAUACCCCGGUAGUCCACGCUGUAAACGAUGUCUACUAGGUUGUGGAGGUUCUGACACUUUCACGAUCGAAGCAAAAGUGUUAAGUAGACCGCCUGGGGAGUACGGUCGCAAGGCUAAAACUCAAAGGAAUUGACGGGGGCUCACACAAGCGGUGGAGCAUGUGGAUUAAUUCGAAGCAACGCGCAGAACCUUACCUGGGUUUGACAUGUAUGGAUGCCUAUCUGGGAACAGAGUCGGCUGCCCUCGGGUGAAACUUACACAGGUGCUGCAUGGCUGUCGUCAGCUCGUGUCGUGAGAUGUCGAGUUAAGUCCUUUAACGAGCGAAACCCUUACCGUUAGUUGCCAGCGCGUCAUGGCGGGGACUCUAGCGGGACUGCCGGUGUCAAACCGGAGGAAGGCGGGGAUGACGUCAAGUCCUCAUGGCCUUUAUGCCCAGGGCUUCACACGUGCUACAAUGGUCACUACAGAGCGAAGCGAGACCGCGAGGUGGAGCAAAUCGCAAAAAAGUGGCCUCAGUUCGGAUUGCAGGCUGACAACUCGCCUGCAUGAAGUUGGAAUCGCUAGUAAUCGCGUAUCAGCAAUGACGCGGUGAAUAUGUUCCUGAGCCUUGUACACACCGCCCGUCAAGUGAUGGAAGUCGGGAGCACCCGAAGUUGGUCUGCCAACCUUUUAUUAGGAGG
RNAcentral lists this ribosomal RNA (799 nucleotides) under uncultured organism. Its description in RNAcentral is "bacterial SSU rRNA". It matches the Rfam family "Bacterial small subunit ribosomal RNA", at positions 663 to 1449 of the family's 1533-position model. The record is from RNAcentral.